Molecule: ribosomal RNA, 742 nt
Filed under: uncultured Lactobacillales bacterium
Lineage: Bacteria; Bacillati; Bacillota; Bacilli; Lactobacillales
Description: bacterial SSU rRNA
Rfam family: Bacterial small subunit ribosomal RNA
Source: RNAcentral
CCGGUGCUUGCACUGGUCAAUCUAGUGGCAGAACGGGUGAGUAACACGUGGGUAACCUGCCCAUCAGAGGGGGAUAACAUUCGGAAACGGAUGCUAAAACCGCAUAGGUCUUCGAACCGCAUGGUUUGAAGAGGAAAAGAGGCGCAAGCUUCUGCUGAUGGAUGGACCCGCGGUGCAUUAGCUAGUUGGUGAGGUAACGGCUCACCAAGGCCGUGAUGCAUAGCCGACCUGAGAGGGUGAUCGGCCACAUUGGGACUGAGACACGGCCCAAACUCCUACGGGAGGCAGCAGUAGGGAAUCUUCCGCAAUGGACGCAAGUCUGACGGAGCAACGCCGCGUGAGUGAAGAAGGUUUUCGGAUCGUAAAACUCUGUUGUUAGAGAAGAACAAGUGCUAGAGUAACUGUUAGCGCCUUGACGGUAUCUAACCAGAAAGCCACGGCUAACUACGUGCCAGCAGCCGCGGUAAUACGUAGGUGGCAAGCGUUGUCCGGAUUUAUUGGGCGUAAAGCGAGCGCAGGCGGUUCCUUAAGUCUGAUGUGAAGCCCCCGGCUCAACCGGGGAGGGUCAUUGGAAACUGGGGGACUUGAGUGCAGAAGAGGAGAGUGGAAUUCCAUGUGUAGCGGUGAAAUGCGUAGAUAUAUGGAGGAACACCAGUGGCGAAGGCGACUCUCUGGUCUGUAACUGACGCUGAGGCUCGAAAGCGUGGGUAGCAAACAGGAUUAGAUACCCUGGUAGUCCACG